RNAcentral lists this ribosomal RNA (567 nucleotides) under Triticum aestivum (bread wheat). RNAcentral describes it as "partial small subunit ribosomal RNA". Lineage: Eukaryota; Viridiplantae; Streptophyta; Magnoliopsida; Poales; Poaceae. The record is from RNAcentral.
AUGAAAGGCCAAAGAAUGGAGCAUUGGCUUCAUGUUCUCAAACUCGAUAAUUUAGACGCUCCUUUCAUCGCUCCCGCGGCCGGCCUGGGAGCGAACCCAGCCGCCGCCGCCAGCGCCACAGCCCCCGUCCAUCCUCCCCUCGCCGCCGCCGGAGGGCGUCGCCGGGCAAAGCCCGGGCGGCAUCGGCGGCGGCGGGGCCCUUCCCUCCUCACGGUCGGGUUUGGGUGGCGCGGGACGCUCGAUUCAGCAGGGGUUCACGCUCUGGCGAGGGUGCUCGCGCUCGAGGCGUCGCGGCGAGGCAGCGCCGGCCGGCGCGGCGCGUGCGAAGUGGGUCGCGGUGGCCUGGUCGACACAGAGGUGUGGGUGCGCGACGCUGGCAAGUGGAGGUCUGAGGCGAGGCCCAUGCGGCGGAUCUGGCUGCCCUGGCGACGGCUUUGGGCGCCCGGUGACCGCGAGCAGCACGGCCGCGCGAGCUCGGCAGGGGUGCGGCGUGUGCAGCUGGUGGCUGCACGCGGUGAGGAUGUGGUGCUGCUGGAGGCUGCGCGGAUGUGGUGCUGCAGGGGCUGA